ACAACACGAAACUGUACAUGGCCCCACCAAAGACAAUCAGCAUUUUAAUGAUCAUCCUCGAAAUCGCUCGUGAUCUUUCCACAGUUAAUUACUAUCUUAUAUCCGCUGCUUACUUCCAUGGUAUUCUCCGUGCGCUCAAUAUAGUUAAAGGUGCGAAUUAGGCAGGGCGCACACCAAGGAAACUGAAAACUGAAACACAACCGCGAUUUCCGAGAAGUGUUAUGAGCCGGAGUUGAAGACAUGUUCGUAUACGCGGCAGCGCAAAUUGAGAAAUAAAGAACUACUUCCAGAAACAUCACUGAACCUGACAAGAGUUUCCUACAAUGCCAAAGUAAAUAGCCAUGGUAGCCCAUUGCUUUCUGGACCUCAUGAUGGCAGAGUCAAUAAAAUUUACAUCAGAAUGAGUUGAUGGUUUAAAUUGGCUUAAAAUGGAGCAUAUGUGGGGAAAAAGAGAGUAUACAAAUGCCUGUAUGGAAAGAUCAACAGGAUGAAGACACUUGAUAUGUAGAAGAGAAAGUAAUAUUAAUUGUCUUAGAGGAAUGGACUGUGAUCAUGACUAAGAUAAGGUAUA
Long non-coding RNA from Cryptotermes secundus, 571 nucleotides. RefSeq lists it as uncharacterized. The transcript has 3 exons. Lineage: Eukaryota; Metazoa; Arthropoda; Insecta; Blattodea; Kalotermitidae. The record is from RefSeq and is a predicted model, not a curated record.